This 332-nucleotide ribosomal RNA is filed under the name uncultured bacterium. RNAcentral's name for it is "bacterial SSU rRNA". It matches the Rfam family "Bacterial small subunit ribosomal RNA", at positions 568 to 898 of the family's 1533-position model. The record is from RNAcentral.
CGUGUAGGCGGUUGGUCAAGUCGGAUGUGAAAGCCUGGGGCUCAGCCCCAGAAGUGCAUCCGAAACUAGCCAGCUAGAGCGCGAUAGAGGAGGGUGGAAUUCCUGGUGUAGCGGUGAAAUGCGUAGAUAUCAGGAGGAACACCGGCGGCGAAGGCGGCCCUCUGGAUCGUUGCUGACGCUGAGACGCGAAAGCGUGGGGAGCAAACAGGAUUAGAUACCCUGGUAGUCCACGCCUUAAACGAUGGGUACUAGGUGUUCGGGGUGUUGACCCCCUGAGUGCCGCAGUUAACGCAUUAAGUACCCCGCCUGGGGACUACGGCCGCAAGGUUAAA